RNAcentral lists this long non-coding RNA (227 nucleotides) under Bos taurus (domestic cattle). RNAcentral describes it as "long non-coding RNA NONBTAT022438". The record is from RNAcentral. Lineage: Eukaryota; Metazoa; Chordata; Mammalia; Artiodactyla; Bovidae.
UGAAUUUACCAUUUAUCCAUCCUCAAAAAAUAUAAAAAUCUCAAGCAAGGGUCAAAUUCUGUUACUAGCCUGGUCUAGAUCUUCAUUCUCAACCUGACCUUUUCAAAGACUGUCCAAGGACUUAGAACAUAAACUCUUAAAUAAGUUUAGUUUGUUUAUCUUAUGCGCUGAUGUGCUAUGCCUAGCUGUCUGCUAGAAAUGGGGGAAAUUGUAAAAAUCAUGUCCUG